RNAcentral lists this ribosomal RNA (253 nucleotides) under uncultured bacterium. RNAcentral's name for it is "partial 16S ribosomal RNA". It matches the Rfam family "Bacterial small subunit ribosomal RNA", at positions 524 to 776 of the family's 1533-position model. The record is from RNAcentral.
UACGUAGGGUGCAAGCGUUGUCCGGAAUUAUUGGGCGUAAAGGGCUCGUAGGCGGUUUGUUGCGUCGGGGGUGAAAACACCGGGCUUAACUCGGUGCUUGCUUUCGAUACGGGCAGACUAGAGGCAUGCAGGGGAGAACGGAAUUCCUGGUGUAGCGGUGAAAUGCGUAGAUAUCUGGAGGAACACCGGUGGCGAAGGCGGCAUCCUGGACCAAUUCUGACGCUGAGGAGCGAAAGCCAGGGGAGCAAACGGG